AUGGCGGGAGCUUUGUACCGGGAAAGUGUGCAUCUCAAAUAUCUAGAAAUGAAGUUGGUGUUUGUUUGUUUGCGAGUUGGCCUUUUCCUACCUACUGGACCUGCAGUACUUUCAACAUGCUUUUUGCAUAUCACUGCAUUAAGGAUGAAUAAAAUGUUAAGCACCGACUGUUUAGGGACGCAGGAGUUUCAUACAUUCCACAAGACUACUGAAAUACUGGAAGACUCGCAAUCUCAAGAGAUUGCAUUCCACGAAGCAGCGCUGGGGUCAACGCUAGUAGGCCAUCAAAAUGUCCACUCUAUUGCCGCAGUAUCAGCAGGAGACAUUGGAAUGGCUGAAGUCAGCUUGUUGCAUGGUGAAUCUGACACAUCAGCUACCGGUUUACUGCCAGUGUCAUUCUUGUCAUGUGGUCCUCGAUCUAUGGCUCAUAUCUGGCAUUGUGGUCCUGUUGAAAAAGUAUGUCGAUCUAGGACCCCUGCCAGUUGUAAGGAUUAUCAGCAAAUUACCACAACGGUUCCAGUAUCAGUUCCGUCAUCAUCUGGCCUUGAAACCAUCCUAACACCUAAUCCAAUGUACAGUGAUAUUCAGUUGAAAGAUGUGAACUACAAUGCUACAGCAAUGGAGGAAAGCACCGAGUUCCUUCAGCUGAUUCUUAGUGGCAAUGAUGAAGGCUACAAUACUUCAAGCGAACUACAAGUUUGGGAUGUUCUGGACUUCUACUUCUCAGAAAGUUUUUCUGAUGUACAAUUUGAUAGUAUAAUGGGUUUUACAAGUGAUGUCAGUACUUCCUCUCAUGAUUAUAUGAAUAUUGCUGACUUGGUAGAGCGGCCUGUGGCACUCCUGUCUCUCAAUGAGACAGAGGAACCAAAUAAUGCAGCCAAUAAGGCUCUGGUCGACCACAGUAGAAUGGACCCAGAUGACACAUCCUUGUACCUUCAAAUGAAACCACCAGAUUCAGAAAUCGAAAGUACUUCUGCCUCUCAGGAUGUGAUAGGAAUUGAGUAUGUCGAUUCAAUUCCUAGAGGUCUACCUUCAAAUGAAAAGCUUCAUUCUAGAGGUCUGCCUGAUUUAAUGGAUGUUGACUCAUCCAAUCGUCUACGAAAAUCACCAGUGAGAACGAAGCAUGUCACUCUUGUACUUGAUUUGGAUGAGACUCUUGUCCAUUCAACAUUGGAUCACUGUGACAUAUCUGAUUUCAGCAUUCAAGUUUUCUUCAAUAUGAAAGACCAUACAGUUCAUGUGACACAAAGGCCCUACCUGAAGAUGUUCCUUGAGAAGGUAGCUCAGAUGUUUGAGCUUGUCAUUUUCACAGCAAGUCAGAGAAUCUAUGCUGAGCAGAUAAUAGAUAGGCUUGACCCUGAUGGGAAAUUGAUCUCGCAACGAAUUUAUCGUGAGUCGUGUAUAUUCUCUGAUGGCAGCUAUACAAAAGACCUGACAAUUCUAGGAGUCCACUUGGCAAAAGUUGCUAUAAUUGACAAUACGCCACAGGUUUUCCAGUUGCAAGUCGAUAAUGGCAUCCCGAUAAAGAGCUGGUUUGACGACCCCGCGGACCAGGAACUGGUUGAGUUACUCCCGUUCCUCGAGACCCUUGUUGAUGCCGAGGACGUAAGGCCACUAAUCUCAAAGACUUUUCAUGGCAAAGUCCAGCAGGAUUAG
Molecule: ribosomal RNA, 1656 nt
Filed under: Triticum aestivum (bread wheat)
Lineage: Eukaryota; Viridiplantae; Streptophyta; Magnoliopsida; Poales; Poaceae
Description: partial small subunit ribosomal RNA
Source: RNAcentral